UGAUCAGCAGGGAUUCGUACUCACGCCUCUUGUAUGCUAGACGAGCGCUUUGCCAAUUCAGCUGCUGAGC
This 70-nucleotide transfer RNA is filed under the name Aedes aegypti (yellow fever mosquito). Its description in RNAcentral is "partial tRNA-OTHER". The record is from RNAcentral. Lineage: Eukaryota; Metazoa; Arthropoda; Insecta; Diptera; Culicidae.